GACGAACGCUGGCGGCGUGCUUAACACAUGCAAGUCGAACGGUGAUGCCCUAGCUUGCUGGAGUGGAUCAGUGGCGAACGGGUGAGUAACACGUGAGCAACCUGCCCUAGACUUUGGAAUAAGCUCUGGAAACGGCGUCUAAUACUGGAUACGAAACUGGCCCGCAUGGGCAUGGUUUGGAAAGUUUUUCGGUUGGGGAUGGACUCGCGGCCUAUCAGCUUGUUGGUGAGGUAGUGGCUCACCAAGGCGAUGACGGGUAGCCGGCCUGAGAGGGCGACCGGCCACACUGGGACUGAGACACGGCCCAGACUCCUACGGGAGGCAGCAGUGGGGAAUAUUGCACAAUGGGCGAAAGCCUGAUGCAGCGACGCCGCGUGAGGGAUGACGGCCUUCGGGUUGUAAACCGCUUUCGGCAGGGAAGAAGCGAAAGUGACGGUACCUGCAGAAGAAGCACCGGCUAACUACGUG
This 468-nucleotide ribosomal RNA is filed under the name uncultured bacterium. RNAcentral's name for it is "partial 16S ribosomal RNA". It matches the Rfam family "Bacterial small subunit ribosomal RNA", at positions 28 to 507 of the family's 1533-position model. The record is from RNAcentral.